GGGUUGUGAGGUUAAGCGAACAAGCGUACACGGUGGAUGCCCUGGCAGUCAGAGGCGAUGAAGGACGUGCUAAUCUGCGAAAAGCGCCGGUAAGGUGAUAUGAACCGUUAUAACCGGCGAUGUCCGAAUGGGGAAACCCGGUGCACUUCGGUGCAUCAUCGUUAGCUGAAUACAUAGGCUAACGAGGCGAACCGGGGGAACUGAAACAUCUAAGUACCCCGAGGAAAAGAAAUCAACCGAGAUUCCCCCAGUAGCGGCGAGCGAACGGGGAACAGCCCAGAGCCUGAAUCAGCUUGUGUGUCAGUGGAACGGUCUGGAAAGGCCGGCGAUACAGGGUGACAGCCCCGUACACGAAGGCACACAGGCUGUGAGCUCGAUGAGUAGGGCGGGACACGUGAUAUCCUGUCUGAAGAUGGGGGGACCAUCCUCCAAGGCUAAAUACUCCUGACUGACCGAUAGUGAACCAGUACCGUGAGGGAAAGGCGAAAAGAACCCCGGCGAGGGGAGUGAAACAGAACCUGAAACCGUGUACGUACAAGCAGUGGGAGCCUUCGUAAGAGGGUGACUGCGUACCUUUUGUAUAAUGGGUCAGCGACUUAUAUUCUGUAGCAAGGUUAACCGUAUAGGGGAGCCGAAGGGAAACCGAGUCUUAACCGGGCGUUAAGUUGCAGGGUAUAGACCCGAAACCCGGUGAUCUAGCCAUGGGCAGGUUGAAGGUUGGGUAACACUAACUGGAGGACCGAACCGACUAAUGUUGAAAAAUUAGCGGAUGACCUGUGGCUGGGGGUGAAAGGCCAAUCAAACCGGGAGAUAGCUGGUUCUCCCCGAAAGCUAUUUAGGUAGCGCCUCGUGAACUCAUCUCCGGGGGUAGAGCACUGUUUCGGCUAGGGGGCCAUCCCGGCUUACCAACCCGAUGCAAACUGCGAAUACCGGAGAAUGUUAUCACGGGAGACACACGGCGGGUGCUAACGUCCGUCGUGAAGAGGGAAACAACCCAGACCGCCAGCUAAGGUCCCAAAGUCAUGGUUAAGUGGGAAACGAUGUGGGAAGGCCCAGACAGCCAGGAUGUUGGCUUAGAAGCAGCCAUCAUUUAAAGAAAGCGUAAUAGCUCACUGGUCGAGUCGGCCUGCGCGGAAGAUGUAACGGGGCUAAACCAUGCACCGAAGCUGCGGCAGCGACACUAUGUGUUGUUGGGUAGGGGAGCGUUCUGUAAGCCUGUGAAGGUGUGCUGUGAGGCAUGCUGGAGGUAUCAGAAGUGCGAAUGCUGACAUAAGUAACGAUAAAGCGGGUGAAAAGCCCGCUCGCCGGAAGACCAAGGGUUCCUGUCCAACGUUAAUCGGGGCAGGGUGAGUCGACCCCUAAGGCGAGGCCGAAAGGCGUAGUCGAUGGGAAACAGGUUAAUAUUCCUGUACUUGGUGUUACUGCGAAGGGGGGACGGAGAAGGCUAUGUCGGCCGGGCGACGGUUGUCCCGGUUUAAGCGUGUAGGCUGACUUUCCAGGCAAAUCCGGAAAGUUAAGGCUGAGGCGUGAUGACGAGGCACCACGGUGCUGAAGUGACAAAUGCCCUGCUUCCAGGAAAAGCCUCUAAGCAUCAGGUAACAUCAAAUCGUACCCCAAACCGACACAGGUGGUCAGGUAGAGAAUACCAAGGCGCUUGAGAGAACUCGGGUGAAGGAACUAGGCAAAAUGGUGCCGUAACUUCGGGAGAAGGCACGCUGACAUGUAGGUGAAGCCCCUGCGGGUGGAGCUGAAGUCAGUCGAAGAUACCAGCUGGCUGCAACUGUUUAUUAAAAACACAGCACUGUGCAAACACGAAAGUGGACGUAUACGGUGUGACGCCUGCCCGGUGCCGGAAGGUUAAUUGAUGGGGUUAUCGCAAGAGAAGCUCCUGAUCGAAGCCCCGGUAAACGGCGGCCGUAACUAUAACGGUCCUAAGGUAGCGAAAUUCCUUGUCGGGUAAGUUCCGACCUGCACGAAUGGCGUAAUGAUGGCCAGGCUGUCUCCACCCGAGACUCAGUGAAAUUGAACUCGCUGUGAAGAUGCAGUGUACCCGCGGCAAGACGGAAAGACCCCGUGAACCUUUACUACAGCUUGACACUGAACAUUGAGCCUUGAUGUGUAGGAUAGGUGGGAGGCUUUGAAGCGUGGACGCCAGUCUGCGUGGAGCCGACCUUGAAAUACCACCCUUUAAUGUUUGAUGUUCUAACCUGGCGCCGUGAUCCGGCGUGGGGACAGUGUCUGGUGGGUAGUUUGACUGGGGCGGUCUCCUCCCAAAGUGUAACGGAGGAGCACGAAGGUCAGCUAAUCCUGGUCGGACAUCAGGAGGUUAGUGCAAUGGCAUAAGCUGGCUUGACUGCGAGAGUGACGGCUCGAGCAGGUGCGAAAGCAGGUCAUAGUGAUCCGGUGGUUCUGUAUGGAAGGGCCAUCGCUCAACGGAUAAAAGGUACUCCGGGGAUAACAGGCUGAUACCGCCCAAGAGUUCAUAUCGACGGCGGUGUUUGGCACCUCGAUGUCGGCUCAUCACAUCCUGGGGCUGAAGUAGGUCCCAAGGGUAUGGCUGUUCGCCAUUUAAAGUGGUACGCGAGCUGGGUUUAGAACGUCGUGAGACAGUUCGGUCCCUAUCUGCCGUGGGCGCUGGAGAAUUGAGGGGGGCUGCUCCCAGUACGAGAGGACCGGAGUGGACGCAUCACUGGUGUUCGGGUUGUCAUGCCAAUGGCACUGCCCGGUAGCUAAAUGCGGAAGAGAUAAGUGCUGAAAGCAUCUAAGCACGAAACUUGCCCCGAGAUGAGUUCUCCCUGAGACUGUAAGUCUCCUGAAGGAACGUUGAAGACGACGACGUUGAUAGGCCGGGUGUGUAAGCGCAGCGAUGCGUUGAGCUAACCGGUACUAAUGAACCGUGAGGCUUAACCUUACAACGCCAAAGAAGU
This 2927-nucleotide ribosomal RNA is filed under the name Cronobacter sakazakii. Its description in RNAcentral is "23S ribosomal RNA". It matches the Rfam family "Bacterial large subunit ribosomal RNA". The record is from RNAcentral. Lineage: Bacteria; Pseudomonadati; Pseudomonadota; Gammaproteobacteria; Enterobacterales; Enterobacteriaceae.